AAAACAGUUCGUUGCCAUUUGAUGAGCCCAUAUGAGAUUAGCUAGUUGGUGUGGUAAUGGCUCACCAAGGCGACGAUCUCUAGCUGGUUUGAGAGGAUGACCAGCCACACUGGGACUGAGACACGGCCCAGACUCCUACGGGAGGCAGCAGUGGGGAAUAUUGCACAAUGGGGGGAACCCUGAUGCAGCCAUGCCGCGUGUAUGAAGAAGGUCUUAGGGUUGUAAAGUACUUUCGUGGAGGAGGAAGGGUUUACGUAAUCGUGGACAUUGACGUUACUCCAAGAAGAAGCACCGGCUAACUCCGUGCCAGCAGCCGCGUAAUACGGAGGGGCGAGCGUUAUCGAAUGACUGGUCGUAAGGGCAUGUAGGCGGAUGAUUAAGUUAGAUGUGAAAUCCUUGGGCUUAACCUACGAAUUGCAUUUAAAACU
Molecule: ribosomal RNA, 428 nt
Filed under: uncultured Enterobacteriaceae bacterium
Lineage: Bacteria; Pseudomonadati; Pseudomonadota; Gammaproteobacteria; Enterobacterales; Enterobacteriaceae
Description: bacterial SSU rRNA
Rfam family: Bacterial small subunit ribosomal RNA
Source: RNAcentral